CCGGGUGAGUAAUACAUCGGAACGUGUCUUCUAGUGGGGGAUAACUGCCCGAAAGGGCAGCUAAUACCGCAUGAGACCUGAGGGUGAAAGCGGGGGAUCGCAAGACCUCGCGCUGGAAGAGCGGCCGAUGUCCGAUUAGCUAGUUGGUGAGGUAAAGGCUCACCAAGGCGACGAUCGGUAGCUGGUCUGAGAGGACGACCAGCCACACUGGGACUGAGACACGGCCCAG
This 229-nucleotide ribosomal RNA is filed under the name uncultured bacterium. RNAcentral's name for it is "partial 16S ribosomal RNA". It matches the Rfam family "Bacterial small subunit ribosomal RNA", at positions 103 to 334 of the family's 1533-position model. The record is from RNAcentral.